RNAcentral lists this ribosomal RNA (451 nucleotides) under uncultured bacterium. Its description in RNAcentral is "partial 16S ribosomal RNA". It matches the Rfam family "Bacterial small subunit ribosomal RNA", at positions 29 to 523 of the family's 1533-position model. The record is from RNAcentral.
AACGAACGCUGGCGGCAGGCUUAACACAUGCAAGUCGAACGGUUGUAGCAAUACAGCAGUGGCGCACGGGUGAGUAACGCGUGGGAACGUGCCCUUUAGUUCGGAAUAACGUCGGGAAACUGACGCUAAUACCGGAUACGCCCUUCGGGGGAAAGAUUUAUCGCUAAAGGAUCGGCCCGCGUUAGAUUAGGUAGUUGGUGGGGUAAUGGCCUACCAAGCCUACGAUCUAUAGCUGGUCUGAGAGGAUGAUCAGCCACACUGGAACUGAGACACGGUCCAGACUCCUACGGGAGGCAGCAGUGGGGAAUAUUGGACAAUGGGCGAAAGCCUGAUCCAGCCAUGCCGCGUGAGUGAUGAAGGCCUUAGGGUUGUAAAGCUCUUUUAUCCGGGAAGAUGAUGACGGUACCGGAAGAAUAAGCUCCGGCUAACUUCGUGCCAGCAGCCGCCGUAA